GCGGGAGUAGCUCAGGGGUAGAGCACAACCUUGCCAAGGUUGGGGUCGGGGGUUCGAAUCCCCUCUCCCGCUCCA
RNAcentral lists this transfer RNA (75 nucleotides) under Alphaproteobacteria bacterium. RNAcentral's name for it is "tRNA-Gly". It matches the Rfam family "tRNA". From Rfam's summary of the family: Transfer RNA (tRNA) molecules are approximately 80 nucleotides in length. Their secondary structure includes four short double-helical elements and three loops (D, anti-codon, and T loops). Further hydrogen bonds mediate the characteristic L-shaped molecular structure. tRNAs have two regions of fundamental functional importance: the anti-codon, which is responsible for specific mRNA codon recognition, and the 3' end, to which the tRNAs corresponding amino acid is attached (by aminoacyl-tRNA synthetases). tRNAs cope with the degeneracy of the genetic code in two manners: having more than one tRNA (with a specific anti-codon) for a particular amino acid; and 'wobble' base-pairing, i.e. permitting non-standard base-pairing at the 3rd anti-codon position. Lineage: Bacteria; Pseudomonadati; Pseudomonadota; Alphaproteobacteria. The record is from RNAcentral.